AUGAGAGAUGCUCAAAGCCAAAAACCUCAGACUGUAGAGACUCUGACAGCUUGCUGUGUGGAGUUUCCAUCAAGAGAAAAUGAGGAUGAGUCAAACUCUGCAGCUGAAAUGAAGAACGAGGACAAUGAUGACUUUUCCCCUAUUGACUCAUUAUCAGAAGAACAACCAGAAAUUGAUCCUCCAGAGGAGUUCAUAGAAACUUUAGUGAGCCCAAAAGACCCCAGUGAGGGUGAUGCCCCCAAAAGUGAUGAUGAAUGCCAACAAUCUGUUCUGGAAAUGAUAGAAAGCACCAAAAAUGCAUGUCAAGACUUGAUUCUUGUGGAGCAGGAGGGUGGGGUGUGUCAGGAGAAUCACGAGCUUUGGAUUGACCUUGAGGAUGUUGUGUGUGAGGUGAUAGAGGAGAAGGAAAACGAACAGUCUGAGGCUGAAGGUACAGAAGUCAUGAAAGAGGAGGAAGAGGAGGACAGGCAGACAGGAAGUGGUUCAGAAGAGAAAACUGUGAAAGCCCAUGAAGCUGAGACAAACAAGUCUGAGGUUAGAGAAGAAUCUGAGGGAGAAGCUGUGAAGACGCCAGCAGGAAAGUUCACAAACUCAUCAGCAGGUAAAGCAGAAACGGCUAACCAAGAGACGUGCGAUUUGACGGAAGAAGAUGGAGAUCAAAACAGAGAGGGGGAUGUUCAAGAAACAGACAGAGAGAACAAAGAGCUGGAUGGAGAGCCCAGCAGAGCCCAGCAAAGUGCAGAUAAGUCAAUGCCUAAAGAAAACAACGACUCUGGAACGGGUGACAUCAGCACCAGAGGGGUUGGGAGGAAGCUGGUGGUCUCCAAACAACCCAAAGUUUAUCAAGUCAAAGCUGUGCCUGUGGUGCCUCCUAAACCUCAGCACUGCAAAAUCACCGCCUUGACCCUGCGGCAGCAGCAGAAAGAGAGGCUGGAGGCUGACAAAGGGAGGGACGGCCCGCCGAGGGUCCAGCCAGAGCCAGACAGGGAGGCAAGAGAUGGAGCCGAGGAGAGCCUGGAGAGACAGGAGAGGCAGAUAACCCUCAGGGAGAGAAGGAGGGACGGGGCCGACAGAGACGGCAGCAGCAGGAACAGCCCCCUCAGCCUGUGCUUUGAUGAGGCCGUUGCCAUAGCGACCUUGAGACGAGAAAAAGAGCGAGCCCGCGAUGGAGAGGUCGAUGUAGACAGACUGGGAAAAUAA
This 1200-nucleotide long non-coding RNA is filed under the name Oryzias javanicus (javanese ricefish). RNAcentral's name for it is "lncRNA (ENSOJAG00000004734.1)". The record is from RNAcentral. Lineage: Eukaryota; Metazoa; Chordata; Actinopteri; Beloniformes; Adrianichthyidae.